ACAAGGGAUCCAUGGAAAGAGCAUUCCCAGAAGGGGGGCCAGGGCAGUGCGCACAGUGAGGAGAGCAGGUGUGUGCGAGUUGAGGAAACUGGGCCCUGAGACAUUAACUUGCCCAAAAGAUCACAGUGGGCAACAUUCUAGAGCACAAUGGAAGCCGACAGCAAUGUCAGUGAAGACUGAAAACAGAACGUGGAGAGAGAUGUAGCUUACUAGAGCCCUGUGGCUUCAAUCCCCACCAGGAAUGUCGUUUAAGAGGAAGGUGAUCUAGCACAAAUUCACAUUUGCUUGAGGAAGAAUACAAACGUAUUUUGCCAAAGACUGAGGAUUCGGAUAUGACUACGGAAAGGAAAACUAAGCUCCAUGAGAAGAGGGGACUUGCCCAUGUGGCUCAGGGCUCUAUGCCCAGUGCCCUAGACAGUGCCUGACUGUGUGUGCGGAAUGAAUGAAUAACCUUGGUGAUCCACCCAAUGGCACUGGCGCUCAGUGACCUCAUCUGAAAUGAAAACCUUAACGCAUCAUCAGUUACUGAUUAAACACCUAUCAUAGAUGAAGUAUUAUGGUCUUAAAUCAUUCAGACAAUUCAGACCAAUACAUCUAAAUACAGUGCCUUUCUCAUGAGCUGUAAAUGAAAU
RNAcentral lists this long non-coding RNA (632 nucleotides) under Pan troglodytes (chimpanzee). RNAcentral describes it as "long non-coding RNA NONPTRT009594". Lineage: Eukaryota; Metazoa; Chordata; Mammalia; Primates; Hominidae. The record is from RNAcentral.